ACCUCUGGGGUUCCCCAGCAGUGUGUGACUUCCAAGGUCACUCAGAAUCCUGGGGACAAUGAUCUCAAAGGUGGUGGCUUCUAGGUGGACAUGGGGGAGGCACACAGGCAUCUACCUUUCCCUCCUGGCAGAGAGAAGAGGGGAGCUUUAAAAACACGAGUCCACAACAAUGGGGAACAUGGGCGAGGACAUGGAAUCGACAUUUAGGAAGCUGGAGAAACAGAUGGACAGGUGGAAAUGAUGCUCCGGGAAGCAACUCUGAGCUGGCAGUGAAAUCAGGAAUUUGUGGCCCCAAGUCCUUCUGGACACAAAAAGCAUCUCAAGGAUGUGCUCCACCAAACCAAGGGGGUAAACCAAGAAACAGAAGGAUACGAGCUCAGAGAAUCAAGAGUGGAAUUCCAUCUGGAUAGUCAGGAGACCCAGAACAGACUUUUCAGAAAGAUGGAAAGAUAAAACACCUGUAGAGCCCAAGGAUCCUUUAAAAAGCUUUUUUUCAGUAAUCAUUUUUCCUAAAUGAAUGUGAAAAUUAAGCAAAUGGAAAAAGUCUCCAGGGAAAGCAAGAAGCUAUGCCAGAGAUAAGAAGAUGAGUCUGUGUCCACAUCACAUCCACCCAGCUGUGGGGUCAGUGCUUUUCCUGAAGAUCCAUCCUUUUGAGAUGUAUACAGACUUUACUCACGUUGGAGGAGUGGAGAGAUUUACACAGCAGAUACCCUCUACUUCCAGCCUCCAACGUGCUCUGGAGACCAAGAAACAGGCCUGGAAAGGUUAAGCAACUUGCCCGGUGGUAAACAGCCAAUUCAGGGCAAACUGGGACUUGAAUCCAGACCCACCCAGCUGUGCGCUCACCUCGUCAAUCUCACACUGGACCACAGACUCCACAGAGGAAUGCUUGACCACCUCCCGCAGGACGCCUCCGUCCCCGCCCCCAAUGAUCAGCACCUGCCAAGGAGAGGAAGAGUCAGCCAGGAGCGGCAGGAGCCCCACCAAAUAGGCUCCAGCGGGAGUUAGUGGCCGGCCUCUCUGCCCCUAAACCGCACUGAGCAGACAGAGCUCCCUGGAACAAUUCCUCAGCUUCCCUGUGUCACAGACCUAAU
This is a long non-coding RNA of Bubalus bubalis (water buffalo), 1094 nucleotides long. RefSeq lists it as uncharacterized. NCBI's taxonomy places the organism in Eukaryota, Metazoa, Chordata, Mammalia, Artiodactyla, Bovidae. The record is from RefSeq and is a predicted model, not a curated record. The transcript is spliced from 4 exons.